CCUACGGGAGGCAGCAGUGAGGAAUAUUGGACAAUGGGCGCAAGCCUGAUCCAGCCAUGCCGCGUGCAGGAAGACGCAUCUAUGGCGUGUAAACUGCUUUUGUACGGGAAGAAACACUCCCUCGUGAGGGAGCUUGACGGUACCGUAAGAAUAAGGAUCGGCUAACUCCGUGCCAGCAGCCGCGGUAAUACGGAGGAUCCAAGCGUUAUCCGGAAUCAUUGGGUUUAAAGGGUCCGUAGGCGGUUUAAUAAGUCAGUGGUGAAAGCCCAUCGCUCAACGAUGGAACGGCCAUUGAUACUGUUAGACUUGAAUUACUAGGAAGUAACUAGAAUAUGUAGUGUAGCGGUGAAAUGCUUAGAUAUUACAUGGAAUACCAAUUGCGAAGGCAGGUUACUACUAGUGGAUUGACGCUGAUGGACGAAAGCGUGGGGAGCGAACAGGAUUAGAUACCCGGUGGUAGUCCACGCCGUAAACGAUGGAUACUAGCUGUUGGGCGCAAGUUCAGUGGCUAAGCGAAAGUGAUAAGUAUCCCACCUGGGGAGUACGUUCGCAAGAAUGAAACUCAAAGGAUUGACGG
RNAcentral lists this ribosomal RNA (577 nucleotides) under uncultured bacterium. RNAcentral describes it as "bacterial SSU rRNA". It matches the Rfam family "Bacterial small subunit ribosomal RNA", at positions 338 to 916 of the family's 1533-position model. The record is from RNAcentral.